GAUUAACGCGAAGAACCUUACCUACCCUUGACAUGGUCGGAAUCCUGCUGAGAGGUGGGAGUGCUCGAAAGAGAACCGGCGCACAGGUGCUGCAUGGCUGUCGUCAGCUCGCGUCGUGAGAUGUUGGGUUAAGUCCCGCAACGAGCGCAACCCUUGUCCUUAGUUGCUACGCAAGAGCACUCUAAGGAGACUGCCGGUGACAAGCCGGAGGAAGGUGGGGAUGACGUCAAGUCCUCAUGGCCCUUAUGGGUAGGGCUUCACACGUCAUACAAUGGUCGGAACAGAGGGUUGCCAACCCGCGAGGGGGAGCUAAUCCCAGAAAACCGAUCGUAGUCCGGAUUGCACUCUGCAACUCGAGUGCAUGAAGCUGGAAUCGCUAGUAAUCGCGGAUCAGCAUGCCGCGGUGAAUACGUUCCCGGGCCUUGUACACACCGAAUC
Molecule: ribosomal RNA, 438 nt
Filed under: uncultured bacterium
Lineage: Bacteria
Description: bacterial SSU rRNA
Rfam family: Bacterial small subunit ribosomal RNA
Source: RNAcentral